AGCCAGCAGCGAGAUUCAAACUCGCGACCCCUGGUUUACGAGACCAGUGCUCUAACCUCUGAGCUAUGGUGGC
This 73-nucleotide transfer RNA is filed under the name Araneus ventricosus. Its description in RNAcentral is "tRNA-Thr". Lineage: Eukaryota; Metazoa; Arthropoda; Arachnida; Araneae; Araneidae. The record is from RNAcentral.